This is a long non-coding RNA of Chroicocephalus ridibundus (black-headed gull), 14620 nucleotides long. RefSeq lists it as uncharacterized. NCBI's taxonomy places the organism in Eukaryota, Metazoa, Chordata, Aves, Charadriiformes, Laridae. The transcript is spliced from 9 exons. The record is from RefSeq and is a predicted model, not a curated record.
UCCAAGGAGGACCCUGUCUGUCUACCUUUGAUCCCGAUCUGUGGGUUCCUGAAUCAAGACCUGGAAUCCAGUUCCCAUCCAUCAGUGAGUCCAGUCUGGGACUUCCCCAGUGCCUGCUGGGGACAUCUUCCUGGGAACCUGAUUUCAACUCAACACAGAGUUUCAAUGCAUCCCUACCCAUCCCCUGGUUGCACAGGAGAUUAAACAUGACCUACAUGUCAUCCAGAAUGUUUUGAUCGUGUGCUGUGACACGGAGGACCAAGGCCAGGAGCAAAGGAUCUCUCAAGCAGGACAAAUAAAUGAUUACAUAAUCCAAAACAGGCCUCGCGUAAACAGCCAGGGGUGCUGCCCAAGUACCUGGCAUCACUUGGUGACCUCCCUGAAGCUGACCAUGAAGGAAAUUGCUGGAUUUCAAAGGGAAAGAUCUAUCCUCUGCUUGCAGAAUGAGCCUUGCUAAAUGAAGAGACGCCAAAGGAGAAAAGGAGGGUUUAUGCACAGAUUACUCUACAAUGCCUUCAUUUCUCUGGAGACCAUUUUUAAUUAUGAGCAAAUUAUAAUAGCAGCUUCCAUAAGACAAAGACAUGGUUUUGGUCUGUCAGCAGCUCACUACAAUUACAUUUUUAAAAUGCUUAGUAGUAGAAUGGCUAUCUGUUUCAAAGCUGCGUAAUUUGACAGAAGAGAUGGAUGAAACCAGUUUCCAUUGCUGCCCUCUCAUGCAUCCUCACGGAACGUCGACAGUGAAACACUGAUGCUCGACAUAUCCUACACUUGCAAAAAGUUUGCUGAGGGAUCCAGAGCUGACUACAGUAUGCGGGGAAUUUAGAAAAAAGUAUUAAAAAAAUUAAAGUGACUGAACCUAAGUGUUUAAAAUUGAAUAGCCUGAGGCAGAAAGUCAAACUUGUUUUCCCACUUUGAAGGACAAAGGGGAAAAAAAAGCAGCGUUCAAUGUUUCAACAAGAAGUAGCUACCAGAUACUAAAUUGGCAAUGACUGGUUAUAGUGUCAGAUGUAGGUUGUCCUGGUUGUGAUCUAGAGGUCUGUACUAGGAAGGACAGAAAUAUUCUGGAAGACAAAUAUCUUAAUAAUUGCAGUCUGUUCACCGUGGUGUAGAUUUUAAAUCAGUUUUGAAAAUGGUACCUUAAUUUUUCAGUAGGGAACCAGGUGAAUACCCUGAUGGAACCUUGAUCUUAAGCUAACAAACUAAGUAUUCACUAACAUGUUGUUACCUUGAAAUAACCAAGUUAUCUGAAGUUAACCAAGCUAACUGUGGUGGGUUUUGGAUAAGGGCCCAUUGCUAUAAAGGUGAGUGACAGCUGUUUGAUUUCUAUAAGCACGAUUCUGCCAUGAUCUCCAUUGUGUUUACCAGGGUCAUGACAGUUUGUGCCUCAGAAAAUCAAUCAUAAACAGACACUCAAAAAUCAAGGCAAUGAAAAGGCAUGUCUGACUUGAAGAAUUUUGGCAUUAAUUUCCCGGGAUAUAUUUUGGAAAAACAUUUUUUGGGAGGAAGCUGUUAUCUGACAUUUAAAAAUUCCAACAUAAAAAAGAUAUAAUACCUGUGGGGGGAAAUGUAAACAGAGAGAAGAUUAAAAGUGACUAAGUCCAGAAGUCCAUUAGCUAUGGAAAAGGAAGAUAAAGCAAACAGCUAACUCAAUUUGAUGUUACAGUUGAAAGUCUACAUUUACAGAGAAGUUCCUUCUGUUACUUUUACAUAGACUCUUUAUUCCCAUCAGGUGAUGAACAGCGGAUGAACAGCUUAGGGACCUUAGGUGAUAGGCAUAAUAAAUGUUCAUAACGCUUCCAAAAUACAUGCAAAUGACAAAGGUAAGACUACAUACCUAAGAAUAAUUUAUAAUCCAUUUAUAAUCCCCACAUCAGUCAGAACACUGUAACAGCAGCAGAAGUUCAUUAUGCAUGGGAAGAGACCAGAAUUUGACAGCUUUCCACUACAGUUUGCAGGAAAAGAAAUGUUAUCUUGGUAUUUCAUAGUAAGUGUUCUCAAUGAUACACCUCCUGGCAAGCUGUCAGUUAGUACACAUCAGUACCCUGCAUUCCCUCUUUCCAAAAAAAGAAGAAAACUGCUGAAAAUACACUGACAGAGUAGUGUUAGUUUUCAAACAACAAUCCUCUGCUCCUUUUAACGAUCACGCUUCUAACGUACCUAGAAGGGUACAGUUUCUUGCUGAGUAUCCGGUUGGUGUUAAAGGAAGAGCCUGGCAACACUGAAACAUCAAAACAGUUUAGGGACAGGAACUAAUUUAUUAUUUUGAUUUCCUACCUGGUGAGCACUGAUGAUUUUUUUUAAAAUAUUUGCUUCUUCAUAGGAUCUAUAGAAAGCCAUAUAUAAUGGCUGGAAAAGCAGUAUCAUGAAAUUUCUGUAUAGGCGGAAGUUCUUACGGUUCUUUGAGAUGACCUUUGAAUUUCAAUACAACACUGUGGUUUAGGUGGAAGAAAUAUCUUAGAGAAAACGAGUACCGAUUGUGGUUUAGGUCUGCUUAUUCUGCAUUGUAUGAAGCGUAUAAACUCAGGUACAGUUAUGGAAGCUUUAAGAAAGGCAUGAAGAUAAUUUGUCCCAGAGGCUCCUAAGCUCAUGCUAGCUUACUACAAAGUGAAACCAAAUAAAACAAAGAUGCCUAAUUUAUCCUGACUGUAAAUACUAAAAAUAAUGUAGUUACUCUGCUGAUAACCACAAAAAUAUAUAGCUAAAGGAAAAAUGAAAAACGUCAUAAGAUGUCCAGAAAUGUUUCAUUUGCAAAGGCAAACACUUGAAGAAUCAUAUUUUUAUUUUCUUAUGCAGCUUUAGUCCUGAGAAAACAGCGUGUGGUAAAUAUAUGUGAUCCUGAAGUUGAAGAUCAUGUCAUGUUGCAUAAGGACAAUCACAAAGGAAUUACAAUUGUCCAAGGAAGUAUAAAUCUACCAUGUCCUAACAUUUGAGCUUUUCAACCUAAAUAACCCCCCUUUAAACUACUUAUACAUAAAGAUUGUGCACUUUAUUAAGAUUUACAUUUAAUGAAAAACAGUUGAAAAGCUAUGAAUGUGUUUUUCCCAAUGUAAUGUGUAACUAAAUUAAAUUUACAAGAUCUUAGCAUCUGGGGGAAACAGAAUUUCUGUGCUAUGUUUAUCGAUGUGUUACUGUCUUUGUGUUGCUGUUAACUUGUCAAGUUAAAGCAUUCAGUAUUAGUCUUUGCUUUUUCAGGAAUGGACAGUUGUUGGAUUUUAUAUACAGCACAGAAGGACAAUUGUUGGAUUUUAUAAUGCACAGGAGACUAAACACCUCUUCCACUGGGGAAGUGAGGGGAGGGGGAUGCUUUCAUUGCCUGAAGGUUUCCCCCUAUCAAAGUUCACACGCUUUCUGCAAAUAGGAAGUAAAUGGAUAUAUUAGAUCUUGAAAACCUCCUAUCGGCUUCUCAUUUACUAAACAAAGAUAAGCUUUUUAGGUUCCAGAGCAGAAAAUACAGAAAACCUUGUCAAACAAAUAUAAAGAGUAGACGAUACAGCCCUGAUAUUCUGAUCUGUUUAAUCUCUGCUUUGCAUUUACAUUUGUGUUGUUCCCAACUGUUUUGGCCCUCUCUCUGCGUUUCCUGUUACUUUAGUUUCAGAAGUAGUUAUUUUGAUUCAGAAGGCAUUGAUGACGGUACAGACUGCUGGAUAACAGCAACCAUUCUACCAUUUCUUCCCACAUGGAGAUGAUGCUUUGUGAAGGCCUCAAUGGCUGGGGAGGGCAGAAGGCAGGCUCUGCCACCUCAGCAGUCUUAGCCUGGUGGGGAAAUGUUAUGCUCUUCACUGUUAAAACACUGGAAGCGGUGCUAAAGCUCUGCAACAACAUGGAUGGAGAUGUUUAAGAGUCAUUCUUCAGUUUUAAACUGUGCUUCCAACGAUGAUUCACAUCAAAAAACCAAUUAACGGCAGUUUAAUCACCCAGCCUGUACUUUGCCGCUGUUGCAAAAUCAAAAAUUUCUUCUCUCAUACCUUGGGGCUCUAUAUUAGUGCUAGGAAAAACCUCAACAGUUCUUGUCAAUCAGUAGCAGAAUAAUGUAUUUUUAAAAGGAUUUAUGUAGAGAUUGGAAAAUAGUCUGUAUUAUUGAUGGCGUAAAUCUACCAGAAAAAUUCAGAUACGUGCAAGUUCAUAAAAAUCAUCCAUGUGUGUUGACAUUUUAUAUUCUAAUGUGACAAGAAAAGAAUGUUUCUUCAUUUGAUGAUAUUCAUCCGUAACUGAUGAUAUAUGCAAUUUAUGCUACUGAGGGCCUGAAUUUAACCUUAUAUUUUGGCUUUAAAGCACAAAGAUUAUAAUGGAUUUUUUUCUGAUUUAGAUCUAGUUAUUUGAUCAUUAGAUCUUGCUUCUUUAAGAUAGCUAGAACUUUUUUUUUUAACUAAAAUAACAACUGUGUAGUCCUCUAAAGAUUUUUAACUUUAGGUUUCUGCGCACUAUAGAAUCCAUUUUUAUUCCAAUUUAUCGGCAUAAUUUAUUAAUUAAGACUUCCAUUUAAUUUCUCGCCACUUGGUUUAUCUAGGACCCAAGCCUGGCUGAAAUGUUUUUUGCUCCUGAAUUUACCUCAGAAGGAGGAAAACAUGCUCAAUCAAAGAUCUUUUUUACACUUCUGAAAUAAAAAGAAUUUUGAAAAUGAGAAUGACAAGCUAUCUAUCUUGCUGAUCUUGCAUUGCCAACCCUACAGAGAGUUCGAAAUGUUGUAUUUAAGGAUGUACUCGGUUCCCUUCAGCUGUUUAGCCUUACAACCUAAGGUUAUAGUGUAAAUGUCAGUUCCCUUAAUUCUUCCUGCUAGCUCUUUUAAUUAUUCCAUGACCAAUGAUUUCUAUGUAGUGUCUCCAGUUACAACUUUAAAAUUCCUUCCUAACUUGUCCAACAGGGGAAUUUUAUAUAAAUACGAAUAAUGUAAAGGAUUCGGUAUUGAUUUUCCUACUCAGUAUACUGUGUUCUUCAACUCCCCAAACUCACAUCCCAACUACUCCUACUCAGGAACAGAAUUUUUGCUUGUCCAGCUAACUUCAGCUGUGAAGCCAGCAUGUCAUAACAACUCACAGUGUCAUGUUAUCACGGCAAUAAUGGGGUCACUGGAUUUUGGCAAAACAGACACUAUAGACAUAAUCAUGAUAGGAAACACGUUUCUUACAUCUUCUUAUGUGGUAAGAAAAACAUCUCACUUAAUAUGCAAAACAAAACUGUACUCCAGUGUUCUUUUGGUCAGAAGUCUGAAUUUUUAGUUUCAGCCACCACAGAGAAAUCUUUGCUCUACUUUGCAGGACAGAGCAAGUUUGUGCCCAGUUCACUUCGUACUCACUUAAAGAAACUCCAGUCAGUCUGCCUCACUAUAUCUUGAACUAUUUUCUUCUCUGUGGGGCUAUAUAGGUUGGAAGAAGGAUCAGAAUCAUAGCAGCUGUUUUCUCUCAUGCUAAAUAUAUUUUGAUAGAUCACCAUCAGCUGCCAAGCCUUCUACUGUGCUUUCGCCUUGGGAAAGGUGGCAUAAGAUGCAGAUUUUCUGGGGGGAAGCUUGCGAAAUACUUGCUUUUGCCAUACCAGGAUCUACUUCCACAUUGUUUGAAGACAUGGUGUCUGAGUCUGUACAGUUUUCUCUUCCUUCAGUUCAACUAAGGUAGGACUACACUCAUCUUUCUGGGGAUAAAUCUGACUAAGAUAUUUUGGACUUAAUCUCCAGAUGUUAAUUUUGCAUCUUGUCUAUGAAAAGCUGAUAGCAAACUUGUAAUUUCUUGGCUUGCAGGUUGAAAACAACAACAACAAAUGCAAGUGUCUCCCAGCAUUUCUCUUUAUCUGGCUUUGCACUUGCUUGUGUUGUUUAGACCCCUGUUUUCAUUUUCUCAUCUGUAUCUCUCAUAGCAUAAAUAGAUAAAAUUCAUACUCAAAGGGUAUUCAAUUCUGCAUUUACAAGGUAUUGGCUGAACUGUGAGGCUAGAGCUGUUGGGUGCUGAAGAUGGCAGCUGAGAAACAAUGGAGUUAGCCUCCACUAUAGCUGGUGAGACACCCAUAUAGCGGGAUGUACUCCUUUUCUACCAUACAUAUUCUCCUUUCCACAUCUGUUCUUUUUCUUCUUGUGGAAGGUAAAGUAAUCCUUCUUGGGACCCACAGGAGAACUUCAGCAUUUUAAAGACUGAGGUCUUAAGGAGAAAUUAGACUGACUUCAUUCACCAGACAGUCAUCCUUGACAUAAAACCCAACAAAAUAGACAUUCCUCUUAGUGUGCCGAAAGAAACUAGAGUAAAACCAACAGAGAAUUUCCUUUAUAUUCGGAUGCUAAAGAAAACAGAACCUUCUUAAUGUGCCAAGCAGCAACAUGAGCUCAAUGAGCUGCUAAUUCUGUAAGCAUUUUUGCCACUGCAUUACGAAAUGGUUGCUAUGGAGAGAAGCUGGCUGUUAAAAUGCCUGUACAGCAAUGUUUCUUUCUUUCUUUCUUCGUUCCUUUAUUUUCUUGAAGGAUCUUACGCUUUGCGCUUGUUAAAAUACUUUGCUUUUCUUAAGGAAUGAAAAAUAUCCCAAAACAUGGAUUGGACUUGAAUCAACGAGAACAUAAAACAAUGAUACCUACCUUUAUUGAAAACCUGUGCAAAAACUUCUCAUUCAUUGUAAUUUCCACUAAAGCUAUGGGAUACAUAUGUCUUGUUCCUCACUGUUUCCUAAUUCAUCUACACUUCCAUCUGCCUAUUUGAUACCCUGAUUGCCUAAAGAUAAAAUUUUUCUCUCUUUCAUCUGCUGAUCUGGUUGAACUGCUUUCCUUUCAGUAUUACUAAGCCAAUUACUUAUAUCCAGCUCCUAUCGACUGCUGUCAGGAGACAGCUCUGAUGUGGUGAAAAUAUGAGCUGCUGUUUUGCUGUGGCUGUAUUAUCUGAAAUAUGAUGACUGUGAUGCAGCUGUGGUCAGUUUUCUGUUACCUACAAUGAAGGUGACCUCACUGUUCGCUGUGAUGUGUAGACCUUUGCAGUCAAAUAUGUUACAGAUAUGGAAAAAAUGUUACUACCUGGAAUUUUGACUCAUCAUUCUAUUUUGUUUCCUUUUUCUGUGGGACUUUCUGUUACAUAGAGAUAAGUUGCAUAGAGAUAAUUUAAUGUAUGUGCAUUUUUCCUAUUAAUAACACUUAGUAUUUAAAUGUGCCUUAGUACGCGUAGAAAAUUAUAAGCCUCUGCUUAGAGGUGACUGUUAGUUUGUAAUGAUUAAAAUGCAGUCCUCUAAUAGCCACGGGCUUAAUUCAGUACAAAAUCUACAGCUUUCUGAUUCUUUUAGUUUUUGAAAGACCCGCUUCAGGACAGGAUAACUCUGUACUCCUAUGUGCUUGCUUUCAUGGCUCAUGCCAUGAAAGAAGUCAGACUAAGAAAACAGAAGCCAAUGAAAAUAGCAUCUUUUACAGCUAAGAGUAAACACCCCAUCUUCCCCAAAGUGUUCCUCUAGAUGGUUCUAUGCACCUAAUAAUAGAUGUUCAAAGAACCUGUAUCACCUCUUUCCAUUUUUUAAAUUGUGUUUAUUGUUUUCUUCUUAGAGUACUGGUGCUAUUUGGAAAUAUAAAUUCAUAUCAGGGCUCAAUCCUGUGGAUCAGCGCUAGGAAGGAUGAUGGUGUAAGAUGGUUGACAUACGGUGCAAUAAAAGCAUAUACAGCCUUUCAAAGAAUUCUAGACAGGUCCCUCAUUUUCGGCUGCCAUCGUGCUCCUUAAAUUCCUGAAUUUAAAACCUCAACUUAUCCUUUUUUCACAAAAUUUUGGGAAGAUCGUCACUGUUCUACCUUCUGACUUAAAGGAGAGGCGCAGAGGUCGUGAAUCUCAUGGGCUGGUCCAGUACCAUUUCUUUUUACCACACAUGUGAUGCUUUAUAAAUUAAGGCAUAAGAGAACGUGACUGCAGCUACAUACGGAGAUCCUCUGGACACCUUUAUCCAAGUGAGCUCUUGAAGUCAACUCUGGAAGUCAGCCCUUGAAAAAGAAAUACCACAGCCUUUUUAGUGCAUCGGUGUGAACCUAAAAGCCUGGCUGAGGGAUCUCCUUUGAUCAGCUGAAAACUGGAAAUAAAGCAACAGAUGCUGGUUUUGGCUCUUGUGAUACUGUUCUUCUAGUUGUACAUGAAUGAAACUGAAGAUUAGGUACUUCCAUUAGAAAAAGCAUAUUUGAUAGAGAAUAUGACAUUGAGGCUGAGAAAGACUUCAUCCAAGGUUUAAAGGACUAUUUUCACAGAAGUGUAGAAUUGCAAGAAUGGUGUUUGGAAUGUACUUCCCAAGGUCAUCUAGUCCAGACCACCAGUUCCAAAUGAAGUCAAUUACCUGGAAUCACUGAAAAAAAGAAAACCUUCCUUCUCAUGAAGACUCCAGCUGCCUCCUUUAACCUUUAAAAUAAAAGGUGAAAUCUAGAAAGCAUAUAUUUCAGUUGAGCCUUAGAAAGAACUUAACACCUUCUAAGUAAUUUUUUCAUUUAUGUCCUUUUCAUUUGACUGUUUUCUUUUUUAAUUUUUUCUUCUCAUUUAGUCCAUAAACUGGUUUGUGUAAAGAAAAAUGAACUGGAGUUGGAAAAGUUAGAAAGAUCAGAAGAUGAAGAAAGCAGCUUCUCAGGGAAACAGAAAGAUGUUAUUUAUCCUGUUGUGCAGCACAGCUGGAGUGCUCUCAGGAGUAGAGAAUGCUCAUGCUGAAAACUCAGUGGAAAAAUCAAUAGCAGCGGGAAGAUCACACUUUUAUCAUUUUAAUGAUCAUACACUCAGCAAAAAGUUUAGAAUUCUGACUAACAGCAUGAUCUUAAGUGAGAAUGGCAGAUACCACUGGAAAGAACAGCAUAAUGUCUAUUGAAAGCUUUGGCUUUUAUUUUCUGCACCCUUAUAUGCAGAAAGUCUGCUUAUACAUCUCUCAGGAAAAAAUUAUUCAUGACUAGAGACCAUGUGGUGCAAAAGAAACAUGCUUGUGAUGAAUUAGAUUCAGACUUCUAGCUGGGAGUAAAAAGUGCAUGGGGCAAGUCCUCUUCUAAUUGGGAUGUGAGAGUUUUGCCAGCGAUCAGAUUGCAAGUUUUCUGUGGCUUUAGUGUAUUGUACAAAGAUAGUGAAUCAUACAAAAGAAAGAAGGAUCCUUCAGGAGACCAGACCUUGCAUCUCCGUUUAGCUUUGAAUCAACGAGAAAAUCUUCUCUGACAAGUCGAACUCCUUCCCUCCAUGCAAGCCAAGUAACACACCAGAUGAUACUCCAUGUAUUGCCUUACUCUUGCUUGUUUUUUCCUGUUUUAAAAGGAUGUACGUAUUUUUCAGCAUACCUAGAGGAAACAAAAUAAUUCGAAAAGAACUCUUAGUUUAUGAAAAAAAUGAUGCCUAUUAUAGUUACUCUGCAGAAAAAUAUGCAAAUCCCUUAAUGUGAAGAAAUUAUUAUGUUUGAUCUACUAUUAUUUACUGAAGAGAUUUACUAGAAAAGAACAUUGCUAGAAUUUCUGACAUCUCUGAUUUAUGAAGCAGUCUUUGAUACUUCCAGGCAUUAAUUACAUUUAACUGGGAAACUUGUAAAAUAAUGAUUUCUUCUGAAUUAUUUAGGAAAUUCAUAUUUUAGUUUUAUGAAUAGGCAGUUUUAUUUUAAGAUGUACCUUAUAAUCUGUUUUGGUAAUAAGUGAAAUUCCACUCAAAAAUAUGUAUCAAAGUUAGGAUAAAUAAGGACAUUUUUUAACUCUUAUUAUCCCUCUUUUGGCUACUAUUGUGUGUUUGCUUGGGUCUUCUCAUUUAGGGCCACAGUUUGACUAAAUGUCAAGCAGAUAGGUAAUGAGACAGUCCUGAGUGAGGUAUUUUGAGAGAGAAUUUGGGAAAGAAAAACCUAGCUUUUGAAAGAUCGACCAUAACCUUGAAAGAUUGCUCACUCCUUUCCUAAACUCUAGGAGACUGAGACAGACAAAAAAAAAAAAAAAAAAAAAAAAGAGGGUCAGAAGGGUAGAGACAUACAAAGAGCCUUUCCUCCACUUGCAGAAGGAUGGAUCAGCUUGGCUCUUCACAGCCCUCAUUCAAGGACAACAUGAGUGUCAUGUUGAUGCAGAAGCUGGACCCAUCAUCAUAAUAAUAUUGCCUCUGAAUGAAUGGAACCAAAGUUACUCCAGUGGCUGUAAGAAAACUAGCUGAAUCAACUUCAGAAGUUUCUUGUGCUGUGUUAUUCCUCCACACUGAGGAGAUUCCAAAUCCCUGCUUUGGUCUUUCCCAUUUUUCCAAGCUGAACGUCUGAUGCCUUAGUUAUAAUAAACACAAUAUAGGUACUACAGGACACAUCAAGUCAAGUACAGAGACACUGACAAGACAGUCAGCAUGGUUCGAUAACGAUUAGCUCUGGCUUAGCGCAAGAUAUGUAAGGCAAAACUGGCACCUGCAAAGCCACUUAGGUAUUUGUGCACUGUGUUUCCUAUAGUCUCAGUCCUGGGCAGAUUGACCUGGCUGGAAUCAGUCCUUUCCACAGCAAGUCUGUCCUUCUGCUGUAGCUAACAUGAAAAAAGCUUGACAGAUUUUUUUUUCAGAGCCAUCUAGGGUUCACCUGGGCUUAUUAGAGGGCAACUGAUGUGCUGGCAUAAUUUAUAUUGACAUCUUUGUAAAUAUUUUGUGUCUAUCCAAGAGUAUAACUCAAUAUUUGGUAUAAAAUGAACAGCAACGCAAAGCUACUGUUAGGGAUAUAUCAUUGUGAUGAGAAAUACCGGAAGAGAAGAUAAUGUGAAACAUUGUGGAAUUUUUUGUUGGCCUUUUGAAUCCUAGCUGAAAACCAAACCAAACCAAAACCCCAAACCGAACACCCUCCCCCAAAACCCACAAAACUUUUUCCUAGAAUAAGGUUUUGUUAUAGCAUUCUCCAGACUUUUCACAGAGGUUGAUAUUCCUUUCAACUUCAGUGUAAACUCUAACUCUAUCAUAUUAGUUUCUAAUAUCUCUCAGAAAGAAGUCUUCAUGAGCGAAUGAAAACAGACUCAAUACCUGUUUGAAGGGAAAUUAUGUUGCAUGUGAUUUUGGAAGUAAGGAUAACUACUUAAUAGCAGCAAUAAAUACUUCAAGACAGCCCAUCAUGCAGUUCAAGUUCUUGGUUUCCCAAGCUGACAUGAUAUGUGCCCUAUUUGAAUUAAUGCCUUAUACCAGGCAUAGACAAGGUUCUCAGACAACGUAAUCAGCAUAGAUCCAAUGAAGUCAAUUGACUAAAGCUAGAUGAGAAUAGAAGUUAUUUGAGGUAAUCUUAAUUCUGAUUUACUUUUUAAUUAGUUAAUUUACAACUUUUUUCAUCCAUUUUCCUUGUUUUAAUGAGUACAAGUUAAUGAAUGGUGUCAUACUCUAUCUUAUUCAUAACCAAAACAGGAAACUGUGAAUGAAUCAUACAAAACUCCAUCAGAUAAUCUCCUAUUUCUGUUGGUCCAUAUUGAUUCAAGUGCUGUGGCAGAAACAGGUUCUGCUUGUCUUCUUUUUGUCCCCUCUUUGUGUCAGCAUUUGUCUUUUUCCUGCCAUAUCUCUUCUCAUAUCUUACUUAUAUCCUAUAUCCUGUGGUAUCUGAGAGAAAGAACUAGACUUUUUUUAUUUUUUCUUCAGAGUUGGAACUAAGGAAAAUAAGGCGAUAGUGAUGCAGAGCCACAGAGGACCUGAAGAAUGGAGGUCUUCAACAAUGAUGACAAAAUAAGAGUCCACCUUUUCUUCCUUAAUCUUGAAUGGUGCCCCAAUGAAAGAUUGUAGGGUCACUUGAUCAAGACCUGGUGGCUACUGAGCUGCUGUGAAAAUGGAAGGAGAUUUUAUUUCAGAAGCUUAUGGAAAAGAGUCUCCAAGAACAUAGAAAAUGAAGGAGAAGACUGCUCAGAAAAAGAUGUGCUGCUGGAGAAAAAAAAUCAGAUAGUAUAAGAAGAAGAAGAAAAUAACAGCUAGUAUCACAAGAGCAUAGAAAAGAAUGAUGGCAGACAGCUACAGCCUGGAGAUACAGGAGAAAUGAGACCAAGUCAUAUGAAAGAAUAAAUGGCAACAGAUGUUUAUCUGAGGCUGAAUAAAGUCCAAAGGUGAACACAGUAGCAUCUGCUAUUCAUCCAUCAUGAUAGAUUUGACAGAUUCCUCCUAAAGUAUCAAGAAUUACUUUGCCAACCUAUGAGGCAGUCAGAGAAUUAGAAUCUUAAAGGAUUUCAAGUGUUAUUUUUCUCAUCUUUAAAAAAGUAGGUGGAAGGAUUGAAUAAACUGUAAAAACAGACAAAUAACUAUGGAGGUAAAAUAACAUUUACUGGGUUUUUGAGACCUUCAGCCAUAGGUAGUUGUUCAGAAACACAAGCUCCUGUAAUCGGACAAUGUCCAUUUUGGAGAGAACCGGCCUUCAGGCAGUCAUGAUUGUAAAGAUCCUGAAAUUCAAGGAGACAAAUCUUGAGACACUAUGCAAUUCCCAUGCCUACUUUACAAUGCAAAAAAAAAAAAAAGAAAAAAAGGAGUCACGUGGGACAUUACAAUAGAUAAGAUUUAUCAUGAGCAAGGAAGUCAUAAUAAUAACACAAUAGCAAAGUAGGCGAUAACUGUUCAUGAAAAAGUUGCACACAGAAGGUUGGUUAUAGUCAGCAAGAAAUAACUGCAAAGUUUACAAACAAGUCCAAAGACAAACCCAGGUGGGUCAAAAAACAGAAGAACCAGAACUACAGGAGUGAAGUAGGUGCUCUGAGGAUAUCAGAAAGAUAGUGGGUUAGUAGAACUCAAUUACUAAAAUUUAAAAAAAGCAGAAGCAGUAUAAAAGGUGUUCAAGGAGGAAUGAGCAUUGAAGAGCUGAAAAAACACAGGCAGAAUGGGAAGACAGCAUACUAAUAACAACAGAAAUAGCUUGUGUCGAAAUAACCUUAAAAAAGGUAAACAAAUUAUAAUAGUCAUGGUAGGACUUAGAACUUAUUCUUCUUGGGUUUUUUGGUUUGGUUUCUUUUUUUUUUUUAACCUUUUAUUACCUACCAAUUUUAUUCACCAAGUAAUCACUGAACAAAUAAAAGAUGAAUCUGUAUUAGACCCAGUUUUGGUAAGAAGUAGUCAAGACUUACUGGUUGAAGAUAAUGUGGGUUUAGGUGACAGUAAGUUUAUUAAUUUUAAUUCAAAGGGGGAAAAAAAGAUGUGUAGUUAAGGCCUUCAAAUUCAAAAGAUGAUAUGAGUGUUCAAGAAACUGGAAUUUUCUUCACAUUACAGAGACUGUGUAUAAAUAUGAAAAUGUGAUAUGCCUGGCAAUCUUAAUAAAGGUGCACUGUACUGCCUGUAGUAAGUAAUAAUUUUAAAGUUACGGUUUAUUCAACUAUUAUUGUCUUUACUUUUAACCUGGAAAUAAGCAUUUCAGGUUAUCUGAUUCUGAAAACUCAUCAGGUGAACCUCAGCACUUUCUUUACUUUCUCUAGUGCACUCAUGGUGGUUAGCUAGAGUCAGUAUAAUUUCAGAGUUCUUCCAAUUAUUAUAGAAAAAUGUGCUGCUGUUAUAAUUGCUAACUAUAUAGCAUUUCUCACCGUUCUUAAGUGGAACCGAUUUUUAUGGCUGUUCGGGAUAAUCACGUCUUAAACCUUCCUGAAGUAAACUCGAAUUUUAAUAAAGAAUUUCUACCUUCAAACACAUGAACCCUUCCAAUACUCAGAUUGAGAGCAUUAGAUUUAAUACACUUAUUUGUUGCUGAAAGGUGUGAAAGGGUCAGUAAUGAAAAUACAGCUAUUGUGUUAAUGCUGGCAGUUUCAAUUCUGCAUCUGUUGGCUUCUCCAUAUUGUGGAUGAACUCUGAUAAAUUAUACCAAUUUAUAAUUCUAAAGUGGUCCCAUGUGUAUAUUUUUCUUUUGCAUUUUGGUAUGUAUCUGCAAUGAUACAGUUUUCCAGUUCCUUUUACACAGCCAAUCUAGCAGACUCUUUUUCACUGUAAUUGUCAUGCUGUGCAUGAGGACUGCAUUAGGAUUUGGGAAAAGGCCAUUGUGUGUAUCCUUUAUGACAACUCUCACGUCAGCUAAUGUAUAUUUUCAUCCUGCAAGUCCGGGCAUGAUGUGAAACAAGGCAUGGAGAGUUAUUUUUUUGUAUAACAUAAAGUCAUAAGAAAAAGCCUGGCAAGUGUCUCAGGAGGUCAGUUCAUCUGGUCAUCCUGAAGACUACAAAUAUAUGGAGAGGACUCCAUGCAGAGAAAUAUAAGAUUAAAAUUCUACAUGCCACACUCUUAAUAUACAUUUAUGAUAGACUCUCUAGUGCAUGAUUAUACUUUUUAGUUGUGCUUAUUCUGUUUUAUCAAAAUGCAUGAGAUAAAACCUUUAGGAGGAAAGAUUAGUGUGUUAAGCGAAACGUAACUCACCAUUGCCGAAUUGGUAUCUUUUUCUUGUUAUUAUUUAUUUUUCAAGGUGUUUUUCCAGCAUAGCUUUUUGUGUAAUUUUAAUAACAAUUUGUUUCUCUGGUCUACAGGGCUUUUUUUUGCUAACUCUGAUUACAUUUUACAAGAAGGAAUCAUACUGUUUUAGCAAUCUUACAUCAUUCAGUAUUUUCAAUGUAAAGACAAAUAUUUCAAGUAUGGGGAGGAUUUUAAGGUUUUGUUUCAUUUUUAUUUGUACGGUGUUUGUUGAUUAAGAACACAAGUUAAAAAGAAAUACUGGAAGUUUUAUUCUGAUGUUUGUACCCAUUUAUCAAUAUUGUCUUUAAGCUUACACUACAGUAAAAUAUUGAGGAUUUAUUUUA